AAUUUACUGUUUCAAAAAUAACAUAUACCAUAUCACUAUUUAAGACUUAUUUAUGAUUUUUUUCUUACAUGUCAAAGAAUGUUGUUAGUUUUGGUGAAGAUAUAUGUUCUAUUCUUGGAACAUGUGGUUGAAUUUUCCCCCACUUUCAUA
Non-coding RNA from Caenorhabditis elegans, 150 nucleotides. The record is from Ensembl. NCBI's taxonomy places the organism in Eukaryota, Metazoa, Nematoda, Chromadorea, Rhabditida, Rhabditidae.